Bombyx mori (domestic silkworm) is the source of this 103-nucleotide non-coding RNA. Lineage: Eukaryota; Metazoa; Arthropoda; Insecta; Lepidoptera; Bombycidae. The record is from Rfam.
GCACUUCGGCAGUACAAAUAUUAAAAUUGGAACGAUACAGAGAAGAUUAAUAUGGCCCCAGCGCAAGGAUGACACGAAAAAAGAUAUCACUAGAUAGAUAGAU